GAAAGACCCCGUGAACCUUUACUAUAGCUUGACACUGAACAUUGAGCCUUGAUGUGUAGGAUAGGUGGGAGGCUUUGAAGUGUGGACGCCAGUCUGCAUGGAGCCGACCUUGAAAUACCACCCUUUAAUGUUUGAUGUUCUAACGUUGGCCCGUAAUCCGGGUUGCGGACAGUGUCUGGUGGGUAGUUUGACUGGGGCGGUCUCCUCCUAAAGAGUAACGGAGGAGCACGAAGGUUGGCUAAUCCUGGUCGGACAUCAGGAGGUUAGUGCAAUGGCAUAAGCCAGCUUGACUGCGAGCGUGACGGCGCGAGCAGGUGCGAAAGCAGGUCAUAGUGAUCCGGUGGUUCUGAAUGGAAGGGCCAUCGCUCAACGGAUAAAAGGUACUCCGGGGAUAACAGGCUGAUACCGCCCAAGAGUUCAUAUCGACGGCGGUGUUUGGCACCUCGAUGUCGGCUCAUCACAUCCUGGGGCUGAAGUAGGUCCCAAGGGUAUGGCUGUUCGCCAUUUAAAGUGGUACGCGAGCUGGGUUUAGAACGUCGUGAGACAGUUCGGUCCCUAUCUGCCGUGGGCGCUGGAGAACUGAGGGGGGCUGCUCCUAGUACGAGAGGACCGGAGUGGACGCAUCACUGGUGUUCGGGUUGUCAUGCCAAUGGCACUGCCCGGUAGCUAAAUGCGGAAGAGAUAAGUGCUGAAAGCAUCUAAGCACGAAACUUGCCCCGAGAUGAGUUCUCCCUGACUCCUUGAGGGUCCUGAAGGAACGUUGAAGACGACGACGUUGAUAGGCCGGGUGUGUAAGCGCAGCGAUGCGUUGAGCUAACCGGUACUAAUGAACCGUGAGGCUUAACCUUACAACGCCGAAG
Molecule: ribosomal RNA, 860 nt
Filed under: Escherichia coli
Lineage: Bacteria; Pseudomonadati; Pseudomonadota; Gammaproteobacteria; Enterobacterales; Enterobacteriaceae
Description: partial 23S ribosomal RNA
Rfam family: Bacterial large subunit ribosomal RNA
Source: RNAcentral